RNAcentral lists this ribosomal RNA (610 nucleotides) under Cryptococcus sp. HB1122. Its description in RNAcentral is "eukaryotic LSU rRNA". It matches the Rfam family "Eukaryotic large subunit ribosomal RNA", at positions 68 to 667 of the family's 3401-position model. Lineage: Eukaryota; Fungi; Basidiomycota; Tremellomycetes; Tremellales; Cryptococcaceae. The record is from RNAcentral.
ACAAGGAUUCCCCUAGUAACGGCGAGUGAACCGGGAAGAGCUCAAAUUUGAAAUCUGGCGUGCUCAGUGCGUCCGAGUUGUAAUCUAUAGAGUCGUUUUCCGUGCCGGACUGUGUCCAAGUCCCUUGGAACAGGGUAUCAAAGAGGGUGAUAAUCCCGUACUUGACACAAUGACCGGUGCUCUGUGAUACGUCUUCUACGAGUCGAGUUGUUUGGGAAUGCAGCUCAAAAUGGGUGGUGAGUUCCAUCUAAAGCUAAAUAUUGGCGAGAGACCGAUAGCGAACAAGUACCGUGAGGGAAAGAUGAAAAGCACUUUGGAAAGAGAGUUAAACAGUACGUGAAAUUGUUAAAAGGGAAACGAUUGAAGUCAGUCGUGACUGAGAGGCUCAGCCGGUUCUGCCGGUGUAUUCCCCUCAGUCGGGUCAACAUCAGUUUUGUUCGGUGGAUAAGGGCAGUUGGAAGGUGGCACCCUCGGGUGUGUUAUAGCCAGCUGUCGCAUACAUCGGAUGAGACUGAGGAAUGCAGCUCGCCUUUAUGGCCGGGGUUCGCCCACGUUCGAGCUUAGGAUGUUGACAUAAUGGCUUUAAACGACCCGUCUUGAAACACGGACC